Molecule: unclassified non-coding RNA, 885 nt
Filed under: Hevea brasiliensis (rubber tree)
Lineage: Eukaryota; Viridiplantae; Streptophyta; Magnoliopsida; Malpighiales; Euphorbiaceae
Source: RNAcentral
UUAUCUCCCGAGUCCAUUAAGGUUGAGUGCUUGAAAUGUCAGGCUGAAUUGGAUGAGUUUGUGCCUUAAUUUAUACGAACAUUGCUUCUUUUCGUAGCAAGUCCACGCAUUUGCUGUGCAGUGGGAGGAAUUGUUGUGAGCUUGGAUGGAUUUUGAGAUGACUGAGCAGGUUGGGUUGGUCGAGUCAUGAAUUGCUCAAGAGCAGCAGCAUAAGCCUGGCCUUUGAGGCUUCCCCUCAUCCUGCCUGUGGGCCGCCAGUUUUCUGUUGAUGCAAAUGCCCCCGAGGUUUCAGCCACUGGGACUGGCUGUACAGUCCCAACAGCACUCCUCCGCUCAACAGUUGUUCUAUUAUGCUGAGCACCCGUGUUAUGAGUCAAGGAGUAUCUUGCUCCAGAUGCUUGGAGUUGAACUGCCACAAAUGGCGGUGUUCUUGUCAUCUCGGACAUUGGUUGUGAAGGUGUCCUUUGGGGAGGUCGAUUGUUAUUUACAGUACCUGCCACUUGAUUGGCACUAACUCUUUGAUGAAACUGGAUUUGUGCCUCAACUGAAGGAUGGACCGUGUUUUGAGAUGGAAUUGUGGCUUUAGUAGUCCUUGUGCUAGAAAGAUAGGAAUACUGUGGAGCUUGGAACAUAUUUUGAGAGGGGCAUGUAGCAUUUGCCCCCAUGCUAGAAGAACUGCAAUGCUGUGUGAAUUGGUAGCAUGGAGGCAGUCUAUGGGAUUGGGAGCUGCUCGAAGCAAAUGGAACUUCUGUGGGACCAUUGAGAACCUGCUGGACUACUUGAUCAGAAACACGGCAACUUCCACUACCCUCCCAGUUCUGUGUCAAUAAAUUAUUUAGUGUCAAAGAUGAAGCCACAUCUGAGACUGGCAAAGAACUUACAGGC